Chelonia mydas (Green sea turtle) is the source of this 263-nucleotide long non-coding RNA. RefSeq lists it as uncharacterized. NCBI's taxonomy places the organism in Eukaryota, Metazoa, Chordata, Testudines, Cheloniidae. The record is from RefSeq and is a predicted model, not a curated record. The transcript is spliced from 3 exons.
CCAUCUCCCCACAUGGAAGAAAGAGAACCCAGGGAACUACAGACCAGUCAGCCUCACUUCCAUCCCCAGCAAAAUCAUGGAGCAGGUCCUCAAGGAAUCCACUUUGAAGCGCUUGGCGGAGAGGAAGGCGAUCAGGUACAGUCAACAUGGAUUCACUAAGGGCAAGUCAUGCCUGACCAACCCGAUUGCUUUCUAUGAUGAGAUAACUGGCUUUGUGGAUAUGGGGAAAGUGGUGGAUGUGGUAUAUCUUGACUUUAGCAAAG